Caenorhabditis elegans is the source of this 21-nucleotide non-coding RNA. The record is from Ensembl. NCBI's taxonomy places the organism in Eukaryota, Metazoa, Nematoda, Chromadorea, Rhabditida, Rhabditidae.
UCGAAGAAAAUUAAGUUUUCA